Molecule: unclassified non-coding RNA, 954 nt
Filed under: Hevea brasiliensis (rubber tree)
Lineage: Eukaryota; Viridiplantae; Streptophyta; Magnoliopsida; Malpighiales; Euphorbiaceae
Source: RNAcentral
GCAAAGCAUAGCUAGUCCUUCCCUAUCCAGACUACAAAACUUUCCUUUUGUAUACUUCUAAUGCCAUAGAUUUUUUCUUGUCUCCUUAAUAGCCGUACUACUUAUCCUUUCAACUCCAAGUAUGGCAGCAGCUCUUCUCGGUACAUAUUUAUUCAUCUUUGCUUCCAUCUCUGCAACCUUUGCUUAUGAUCCUGACACGCUUCAAGAUCUAUGCGUGGCCGAUAAAUCUUCAGGUGUUAAAGUGAAUGGGUUUCCGUGCAAGGCUGAGGCAAAUAUUUCAGAAGCUGAUUUCUUCUUUGACGGUAUAGCUAAGCCAGGUGUUGUCAACAGUUCAGUGGGAUCUCUUGUUACACUCGCCAAUGUUGAGAAAAUUCCGGGCUUGAACACUCUAGGGGUGUCGCUGGCCCGCAUUGACUAUGCUCCUGAUGGUCUGAACCCACCGCACACCCACCCACGCGCAACUGAAGUUAUCUUUGUGCUCGAAGGGGAAUUGGACGUAGGAAUCCUCACCACCGCCAACAAGCUGAUCUCGAAAACUGUAAAGAAAGGAGAAAUCUUUGUAUUCCCAAGAAGUCUGGUUCACUUCCAGAAGAACAAUGGCGACAAGGCAGCCUCAGUGAUUUCAGCAUUCAAUAGUCAAUUGCCUGGAACCCAAUCCAUUGCCAUGACAUUGUUUGCAGCAACUCCAGCAGUGCCAGACAAUGUCUUGACUAAAGCUUUCCAAGUCGGUACCAAGGAAAUUGAGAAGAUCAAAUCCAAGCUUGCCCCCAAGAAGUCCUGAUUUUGCUUCUUUAAACCAAUAAAUUUUCCCAUCCAGUAGUAUUGAAUUAAUGUAAGCCGAUGCAGGUAAUUAUCUCCUAUAUGUUUCUUUAUCAACUCAAUAAUGGAAUUGAAUAUAUACGGAUAUUAAUGUGUAAUCAUCUUAUAAUAUAUAAUUUAAUAUAAGAACAAAUU